GAUCAUGGCUCAGGAUGAACGCUAGCGGCAGGCUUAACACAUGCAAGUCGAGGGGCAGCGGGAUGUAGCAAUACAUUGCCGGCGACCGGCGGAUGGGUGCGUAACGCGUAUGCAACCUACCUUAUACAGGGGAAUAACCUUUCGAAAGGGAGACUAACACCCCAUGGUAUUGAUUUAAGGCAUCUUAGAUUAAUUAAAUAUUUAUAGGUAUAAGAUGGGCAUGCGUAUGAUUAGCUAGUUGAUAAGGUAACGGCUUACCAAGGCGACGAUCAUUAGGGGUUCUGAGAGGAAGGUCCCCCACACUGGUACCGAGACACGGACCAGACUCCUACGGGAGGCAGCAGUGAGGAAUAUUGGUCAAUGGGCGCAAGCCUGAACCAGCCAUGCCGCGUGCAAGGAAGACGGCCUUAUGGGUUGUAAACUGCUUUUACAUAAGACUAACCGUAUAUUUGCGAAUAUACCUGAAUGUAUUAUGAGAAUAAGGAUCGGCUAACUCCGUGCCAGCAGCAGC
RNAcentral lists this ribosomal RNA (511 nucleotides) under uncultured bacterium. Its description in RNAcentral is "bacterial SSU rRNA". It matches the Rfam family "Bacterial small subunit ribosomal RNA", at positions 15 to 518 of the family's 1533-position model. The record is from RNAcentral.